UACGUAGGGUGCAAGCGUUAAUCGGAAUUACUGGGCGUAAAGCGUGCGCAGGCGGUUUUUGUAAGUUUGUCGUGAAAGCCCCGGGCUCAACCUGGGAAUUGCGAUGAAGACUGCAAGGCUUGAAUCUGGCAGAGGGGGGGUAGAAUUCCACGUGUAGCAGUGAAAUGCGUAGAGAUGUGGAGGAACACCGAUGGCGGAAGGCAGCCCCCCUGGGUCAAAGAUUUGACGCUCAUGCACGAAAAGGCGUGGGGGAGCAAACAGG
Molecule: ribosomal RNA, 262 nt
Filed under: uncultured bacterium
Lineage: Bacteria
Description: partial 16S ribosomal RNA
Rfam family: Bacterial small subunit ribosomal RNA
Source: RNAcentral